CGCUGGCGGCGUGCUUAACACAUGCAAGUCGAACGGUGAAGGAAGAGCUUGCUCUUCCGGAUCAGUGGCGAACGGGUGAGUAACACGUGGGCAACCUGCCCCUGACUCUGGGAUAACUCCUCGAAAGAGGUGCUAAUACCGGAUACGACCACUUCGGACAUCCGAUGGUGGUGGAAAGUUUUUCGGUCAGGGAUGGGCCCGCGGCCUAUCAGCUAGUUGGUGGGGUAAUGGCCUACCAAGGCGACGACGGUAGCCGGCCUGAGAGGGCGACCGGCCACACUGGGACUGAGACACGGCCCAGACUCCUACGGGAGGCAGCAGUGGGGAAUAUUGCGCAAUGGGCGAAAGCCUGACGCAGCGACGCCGCGUGAGGGAUGAAGGCCUUCGAGUUGUAAACCUCUUUCAGCAGGGACGAAGCGAAAGUGACGGUACCUGCAGAAGAAGCACCGGCUAACUACGUG
RNAcentral lists this ribosomal RNA (461 nucleotides) under uncultured bacterium. RNAcentral describes it as "bacterial SSU rRNA". It matches the Rfam family "Bacterial small subunit ribosomal RNA", at positions 34 to 507 of the family's 1533-position model. The record is from RNAcentral.